Molecule: ribosomal RNA, 292 nt
Filed under: uncultured bacterium
Lineage: Bacteria
Description: partial 16S ribosomal RNA
Rfam family: Bacterial small subunit ribosomal RNA
Source: RNAcentral
GUGGAUUAGAUACCCGAGUAGUCCACGCCGUAAACGAUGAUAACUAGCUGCCGGGGCACAUGGUGUUUCGGUGGCGCAGCUAACGCAUUAAGUUAUCCGCCUGGGGAGUACGGUCGCAAGAUUAAAACUCAAAGGAAUUGACGGGGGCCUGCACAAGCGGUGGAGCAUGUGGUUUAAUUCGAAGCAACGCGCAGAACCUUACCAACGUUUGACAUCCUCAUCGCGAUUUCCAGAGAUGGAUUUCUUCAGUUCGGCUGGAUGAGUGACAGGUGCUGCAUGGCGGUCGCCAGCA